Molecule: long non-coding RNA, 732 nt
Filed under: Homo sapiens (human)
Lineage: Eukaryota; Metazoa; Chordata; Mammalia; Primates; Hominidae
Description: cytoskeleton regulator RNA, transcript variant 5 (CYTOR)
Source: RNAcentral
UCGUUCCAAUGAGAAUGAAGGCUGAGGUGUGCGCCUUUUUUUUUUUUUCCUUCUUAGUCGUGUGUACAUCAUUGGGAAUGGAGGGAAAUAAAUGACUGGAUGGUCGCUGCUUUUUAAGUUUCAAAUUGACAUUCCAGACAAGCGGUGCCUGAGCCCGUGCCUGUCUUCAGAUCUUCACAGCACAGUUCCUGGGAAGGUGGAGCCACCAGCCUCUCCUUGACUCAUGCCCAAAGUUACGGAGGACCCAGCAACCAUCUCCUGCAGCCCCUGGAAACCUCUUGACUCUUCUGUGAUGUCCCCAGUGAUCCAGCAGCCCUGGCCUUCUUUUGAUGGCUUGAACAUUUGGUCUUCAUUGAACAGUUUGUAUAUUGGAAACUUGCCAGCCUCCAUCCACAUUCCAACCUCCGUCUGCAUCCCUCGAAUAACUGGGAGAUGAAACAGGAAGCUCUAUGACACACUUGAUCGAAUAUGACAGACACCGAAAAUCACGACUCAGCCCCCUCCAGCACCUCUACCUGUUGCCCGCCGAUCACAGCCGGAAUGCAGCUGAAAGAUUCCCUGGGGCCUGGUUCCAACCGCCCACUGUGGACUCUGAGGCCUCUGCAUUUGCGGGUGGUCUGCCUGUGAUAUUUUGGUCAUGGGCUGGUCUGGUCGGUUUCCCAUUUGUCUGGCCAGUCUCUAUGUGUCUUAAUCCCUUGUCCUUCAUUAAAAGCAAAACUAAAGAAAACAGAA